UCUUCAUGGCUGCCAGUCAGAUUCAUUUCCGCUGAGCCACGACGGGAACUCCCUUAAGUGUUGUUUAGAGAAUGUCUCCCACGAUGCCUGAUGCUUUCCAUGACCCAAUUCAAGUCUGAUUUGGGCUCUGGGCUAACAGCAGCCCCCAAGGCCAGAGCGCUCCUGUCCCACGGGCCUCAGGCAGAACCAGAGGGAACGUCAAACAGUUUCCUGGGGAAUGCGAGGCCCUUAGUAUGUCGUUCUCACUCCCCAGCACGGUCACCUGUACAGCUUCCAGCUGACGAAUAGGAACCCAGCUCGGACAGCAGGCGGGACCCCUUCCCCCCUCCGCCCGGCACCGAACUCGCCCUCCAGCCCUGCCGCCCUCAGCUCCGCCCCUCCCCGUGCCGCCUCCCUCUGCCCACCUUUCGCCCCCAAGCCGCUGUACCCCCGUCAUCCGCCAGGGUCAUCUUCGUCCGCCUGCCGCCAAGUGGGGGUCCAGCCAGGCGGGGGGCCAGCCCGGGCCGCCGCUGCAAGGACCGUCUUUCGGGUGCUCGGUAUUGCGGUCGCGGCUUGCUGAGACCUGGCCCCGAGUGUUGGCCGACUGCAGAUCUCUUGCGAGAACAGAUUACAAUUGGAACAGCCAGCGGGAAUCUUCUCACAAACCGAGGCGGUUCCCCAGCGGGUCCAAAUAAAUCCGGAAUGUCCCUCCUCCGAGCCUGAGAGCCCGUCUUUAUCAGCAGCACCCGCGACGGGGGUGAGGACAGCGGCGACGCUGAUGAGGGAUGACGCUUAGAGCGCGCAAGCAUCUUCCGUCCCUGUUCCCUGCAGGUCUCGGAGCCUCGAAGGGACGAACGUAGGGGGUUCCGCAGCCUUUCCAAGGGGGCCCUGGAGAGGCCGGUACAGCUUUCUCAUCCGAAAAGAGAGGAGCCCAGACUCUGUCCAAGGCCUCCCUGAGCCCUGAAACUCACCGGCAGCCGCAAAGGUGGGACGACGUCUCUCAGGAUUGAAACGCCUCUCAGGUGAGGGCUCAUCCUUUCUGGGACUGGGGAGGUCAAAAUUGAGGGGCAAUAAUUAAGUCCGAGUGGGAGAACACAAAUGGGGGCUGAGAGGAUAGAAUGUUCUUGGUUAAAAAAAAAAUGCACGUGUCUGAUUUAUUCCCCAAACAUAUCGAAGCAGUAGAAAUGAAUAUACACCAUGAAAAAUAACUUAAUGAAUGAAAAUACUGUAAAAAGCUCCAGCUUAGUGGAGUCGUAGGAAUAGCAGCACUGGGCUCAGAGACCUGAGUUUGAAUUUUUUAUUUUUUUCCAACCGAGAGGAAAUUGACAUUUAUGUAACAUUUUACUAGUUUCAGGUGUGCGAUACAGUGAUUGACAUUUGUAUACACUGCAGAAUGGCCCCGCCACAAGUCUAGUUAACCUCCAUCCCACACAGAGUUACAGCUGCUUUUACUUGUGAUGAGAACUUUUAAGAUCUACCCCCUAGAAAAGGCAAAAAGACC
This 1480-nucleotide long non-coding RNA is filed under the name Sus scrofa (pig). Its description in RNAcentral is "lncRNA (ENSSSCG00000057620.1)". Lineage: Eukaryota; Metazoa; Chordata; Mammalia; Artiodactyla; Suidae. The record is from RNAcentral.